UACGAAGGGUGCUAGCGUUAUUCGGAAUAACUGGGCGUAAAGAGCGUGAAGACGGUUUUUUAAGUCAUCUGUUAAAUGGCCCGGCUUAACUGGGCAAAUGCGGGUGAAACUGAAGAACUAGAGUGCAGGAGAGAAAGGUAGAAUUCUCGGAGUAGCGGUAAAAUGCGUAGAUCUCGAGAGGAAUACCGGUUGCGAAGGCGGCCUUUUGGCCUGCUACUGACGUUCAAGCGCGAAAGCGUGGGGAG
This 245-nucleotide ribosomal RNA is filed under the name uncultured bacterium. Its description in RNAcentral is "partial 16S ribosomal RNA". It matches the Rfam family "Bacterial small subunit ribosomal RNA", at positions 524 to 768 of the family's 1533-position model. The record is from RNAcentral.